RNAcentral lists this ribosomal RNA (497 nucleotides) under uncultured bacterium. RNAcentral's name for it is "partial 16S ribosomal RNA". It matches the Rfam family "Bacterial small subunit ribosomal RNA", at positions 28 to 507 of the family's 1533-position model. The record is from RNAcentral.
GAUGAACGCUGGCGGCGUGCCUAAUACAUGCAAGUCGAGCGAACAGACGAGGAGCUUGCUCCUCUGACGUUAGCGGCGGACGGGUGAGUAACACGUGGAUAACCUACCUAUAAGACUGGGAUAACUUCGGGAAACCGGAGCUAAUACCGGAUAACAUGUUGAACCGCAUGGUUCAACAGUGAAAGACGGUCUUGCUGUCACUUAUAGAUGGAUCCGCGCCGCAUUAGCUAGUUGGUAAGGUAACGGCUUACCAAGGCAACGAUGCGUAGCCGACCUGAGAGGGUGAUCGGCCACACUGGAACUGAGACACGGUCCAGACUCCUACGGGAGGCAGCAGUAGGGAAUCUUCCGCAAUGGGCGAAAGCCUGACGGAGCAACGCCGCGUGAGUGAAGAAGGUCUUCGGAUCGUAAAACUCUGUUAUUAGGGAAGAACAAAUGUGUGAGUAACUAUGCACGUCUUGACGGUACCUAAUCAGAAAGCCACGGCUAACUACGUG